UGCAGCCUCCUCCCGCAGCCACUCUGACGCACCGGAGAACGGCGACGUUUGGAGCCUCAGCGGGUCCCCGACCAGACUUGGACAAAGGCGGAAGCAGGGCUGCAGGGACAGGGCUUCCUUGUGGCAGGGCCCUACCCUAAAGAAUUGUUUCCCUCCCCAACAAAGUGUGACCCACGCUUUGUGCGGUGGGAACCAGCGGCUCUUCUUCCCUGGGUUCAUGGACAAUGGGGGCUUCAGCUCUAGUGUCUCAGGAAGGAGCCCCUCAGGUCCCCCUCCUUUCCUUCCCUUUAUCUCUGUGAAGCGUGAGUCCCGCGACCCGUCAGUGGCGAGGGCUUUCUGGCUUUGCCUCUACAGCCCUAAGGACAGGCGUGCCCCAAAAUGACAGAGGAAGUUUAGAGGCACGUGAAGCCAGGGAAUGACUUUUCCUAAUCUAAGAGGUGCAAUAUGACAGAGUUUGCAGAGCUGAAUUUUUUUUUUUUCAGAGCUGAAUUUUAUUCUCAUUAAUUCCGCAAAAAGUUACUGCCUUCACUACCUGCUGAACAUUGUUCCAGGCUCUUGACACGUGAGACACAGGAGGGAGAAAACUAAACCCGUCCUGUGGAGUUUACAUUCCCAGGAACCAGAAAACAGCAGUGAACAGGUGAUCCUGAGAAUAGCAAAUGCUCCUUAGUGUACACAAAGUUAAACUUCAAUCAAGCAUUUCUCUAUAUGCAACACAUUACAGAGUUAAAAGGAAAAUACAAAAUAUGUGAAGCCUCCACCUUUUUAUGGCUGAAUAGUAUUUCAUGGUAUACAUAAACUACAGUUUAUUAAUCCAUUCAUGAAUUGAUGGGCACUGGAUUGAUUCCAUGUUUUGGUGAAUAUGAAUUGAGCUGCAAUUCCAGUGCAAAUGUCCUUAUGCUAAAAUGAUUCUUUUUCUUCUGAGUAGAUACCUAGUAAUAGAAUUGCAGGAUCCCAUUUAUAAGGGCAAGGGACAUGAACAGAAACUUCUCUAUAGAAGACAGAUAAUGGACAACAAACACACAAAAAAUUUCUCCUUGUCCCUAAUCAUAAGAGAAAUGCAAACCAAAAACACCCUGAUAUGUCGCCUAAUCCCAGUGAGUGCUUAGGGACUCACAGAGUCCCAAAGCUUCAGGUGCUGGCGUGAUGUGGAGAGAAGGGGAAACAUUUACAUGCUGGUGAGACUGCCAACUAAUACAGCCUGUAUGGGGAGAAGUGUGGAGAAUCCUUAAAGAGCAAAAAAUAAAACUUCCACUUUUUCUUUAUGUUGAAAGAGUAUGUGUAAAAUUAGUAAUAGUAACCUUAGUAUUAAAUUAUUUGGAAAAAUUUAUUAACAAAGCAUUUUGGACUUAGAGUUUUCUUUAUGGUGAAGUUUUUAUUACAUAUUUAGUUUCAUUAUUAAACAUGACUAUUUUUCAUAUUCAUUCAUGAGUUUGGUAAAUCUAAUUUUUCAAGGAUUUUUUAAAUUUACAUUUCGAAAAAUUUUAAUUCUGAAAAGAAGAUUGUUGGGAAAAUAGGUGUGUAAUGGAGGUAGGGGAUAAUUUUCAAUAUUUUCAGGUUGUGGUGAUGUUAGUCUGUUUGUCAAUACAUAUACUUGUUUAUUUUAUUAAAAUGUUAGAAAAAACAAUGUAUAAAAAAAAAAUUGCCUUCCAUGUUUUUAUGAGCCUUAAUGCCACUAACAUUUUUUGUUAAAUACGAAAAAAGUGUCUCCAUUAAAAAUUGUGAACAUUAAAAACCCACUUGUUUAGCAGAAUUUACUGGUUUUGUAUAAAUUUGGUAGAGUUGUAGCAUUCCUUAAAGUUCAAUGACUAAUUGAGCUCUUAAGCCCAACCAUGAAUCGACUCCUUGAAGACAUUGAUACUUUUUAUUUCUUAAGAGUAUACAACCUCAAUCAAUAGAAUGCAAACAUGAAAACUGAUAAUAUUUUUUGUUAAUAAAAUGCAUAAGUAACACAACUGUCAACCAUAUAUAAAAAGUAAGACAGAUUUAUUUCAUAUCAUGAUUUCUUUUAAUUAACUUAAUGAUGAUUUUUUUUUAAAAAAAUAACUGGUCUGAAUUAUUUUUACAAAGGCCAAAUCUGUGGACAGGAACUCUGGAUAAAAUUCAUUGAUUUAAUUUAUACCAGUCAACCUAAUAGCUAUUUUCAGCUCAAGAGAUGACUAAACAGCAAGUGCCUUCUGAGAUCAUUCAUUCUUCUGCACCUUUUGGCAUCUUGCAGAAAAAUUAGAGUGAAUAAAGGCACAGAUACAUCAGUGGAAUGACUGGUACUAGGUAGGGAGUAAUGCUUAGAACAAGUUGAAGCAAUAUGAAAAUGCAUUCUGAAGCUACCUUCCUCUCAGAAAUAUGCUGCAGACAAAAAAGGUGGGGAAAAAGCUCUGUAGAUGCAGAGGUUCUUUGGUUUCCAACUGUAGAGGCUGAUAUUUCAAAGAUAACUCUAAAGAUCUUAAUUUGUACAGAGAUUCUCUUGUUCCUUUUAAAAUUUUAUAGACCCUUCUUGGGGUCAUAGAAGUAAAAAUUGCAUUAGAAAUAUAUUUGUGAGUCAGAAUUUUAUUUGGCAGAAGGGAGAGCAAAGUAUCUGUGGAGAAAUGUUCACUAGAAUAAUAAACAAAACAAGAUCUGAGAACCCAUGAAAAUAGAUCAUAAUGGUGACCUCUGCUCAGAAUUUCUUGUUUCUGUGAGUUGUGUUUAGCUGCCUCUAGCUACCAGGUCUGAUACCAGGAAAGACUUUACCAUUUUAUUUUUAAUAUGACUUGAAAAAAAAUUAAUAAGGAGAAUUUAAUUCAGAUUUACUUCCUCUCAAAGCCAAAUUUAUAAAUGUGCUCCCUGUUGGGUCAGAAUUUUCUUGUUUGUAUAAUAGCUUGGUUUUCUUGUCCUUGUUUUGUCUAUUUUCUUUUUAUUUGUUAUUGUUGGGGAUUGUCUUUGUUUGUGAAACACUAAGCACUUCUGUUCUCUUUAUCUUCUGCAGACAUCAUGGACAUGGUG
Molecule: long non-coding RNA, 2982 nt
Organism: Nycticebus coucang (slow loris)
Lineage: Eukaryota; Metazoa; Chordata; Mammalia; Primates; Lorisidae
Exons: 4
Source: RefSeq, a predicted model, not a curated record